UACGUAGGUGGCAAGCGUUGUCCGGAUUUACUGGGCGUAAAGAGCGCGCAGGCGGUCGUUCAAGUCGCGUGUGAAAGCCCCCGGCUCAACUGGGGAGAGUCACGCGAUACUGAUCGACUCGAAGGCAGGAGAGGGUAGUGGAAUUCCCGGUGUAGUGGUGAAAUGCGUAGAUAUCGGGAGGAACACCAGUGGCGAAGGCGACUACCUGGCCUGUUUCUUGACGCUGAGGCGCGAAAGCUAGGGGAGCAAACGGG
RNAcentral lists this ribosomal RNA (254 nucleotides) under uncultured bacterium. RNAcentral describes it as "partial 16S ribosomal RNA". It matches the Rfam family "Bacterial small subunit ribosomal RNA", at positions 524 to 776 of the family's 1533-position model. The record is from RNAcentral.